GAUGAACGCUGGCGGCGUGCCUAAUACAUGCAAGUCGAGCGAACAGACGAGGAGCUUGCUCCUCUGACGUUAGCGGCGGACGGGUGAGUAACACGUGGAUAACCUACCUAUAAGACUGGGAUAACUUCGGGAAACCGGAGCUAAUACCGGAUAACAUGUUGAACCGCAUGGUUUAACAGUGAAAGACGGUCUUGCUGUCACUUAUAGAUGGAUCCGCGCCGCAUUAGCUAGUUGGUAAGGUAACGGCUUACCAAGGCAACGAUGCGUAGCCGACCUGAGAGGGUGAUCGGCCACACUGGAACUGAGACACGGUCCAGACUCCUACGGGAGGCAGCAGUAGGGAAUCUUUCGCAAUGGGCGAAAGCCUGACUGAGCAACGCCGCGUGAGUGAAGAAGGUCUUCGGAUCGUAAAACUCUGUUAUUAGGGAAGAACAAAUGUGUAAGUAACUAUGCACGUCUUGACGGUACCUAAUCAGAAAGCCACGGCUAACUACGUG
RNAcentral lists this ribosomal RNA (497 nucleotides) under uncultured bacterium. RNAcentral's name for it is "partial 16S ribosomal RNA". It matches the Rfam family "Bacterial small subunit ribosomal RNA", at positions 28 to 507 of the family's 1533-position model. The record is from RNAcentral.